UGGUGCCCAACGUGGGGCCUGAGAAUGGGGGACUUAGUGAGAGAUGCUGUUCGUGGGCCCAAAGUAGAAAAAGGAAAAGAAAAUAGAGGACCAACGUGGGAGCCUGCCACACCGCUGAACCUCGGUAAGUGAACAGCGAUUAUGGGACAAGAAAUUAGCCAGCAUGAGAUUUUUGUUGAAAAUUUAGUAAAACUUUUAAAGACACAAGGAGGUAAGGUGAAUAUUGAACAAUUAUGCCAAUGCUUUGAUUUUAUAAAAGAGGUUUGCCCUU
Regulatory RNA element from Cavia porcellus (domestic guinea pig), 271 nucleotides. It matches the Rfam family "Mason-Pfizer monkey virus packaging signal". From Rfam's summary of the family: The packaging signal is located in the 5' UTR and is required for specific RNA encapsidation. NCBI's taxonomy places the organism in Eukaryota, Metazoa, Chordata, Mammalia, Rodentia, Caviidae. The record is from Rfam.